AGAAAAGGGCAUAUCUGGUGGAGACCCUCAGUAGUAAUAAAUAGCCAAGCACAAUGGUGACAUGUUUGAAAAAUUUGUUUCUUUACUGUAUCUUUGUGUCCAUGAUGGUGUGGUUGGUGCAUGGGGUAGGCGAUCGUGAUAGUAAGGGCGAGGGGGCCACAAUAAAGGUUAAAAGAAAUGAUAAUGGCGUCAUUUCAGUCUAUAUUGAUGGAAAAGAUUAUGCAUACAUUUUUAACGUGACCAAGGCUUUGCAAGAUCUUGGGAGGGAUCCUAUAAGACAAAUUUGGCGCCAUUCUGAUGUCUUUAAGCCACUGACAAGGACUUUGGCAGAAAGGGAUUCCAUAUUUGUAACCAAUGAUACAAUACACAUAGAUUCAGACAGUCUGUUUGUCUGCCCGGUUGGUAGGGGCUAUCCCACCAUUACCAGCCAGGUUCAGUGGAAAGACCUUCCCCCUGGCUAUCUUGGCAAAUUUGGGUGGCAAAAGAAUAUGGCCCUGAAGGAAUUUAAUGAAAAUGAAAGAUUUACCAUGUUUUCAGAGAAUGAGCGGGAGAAGACACUGGUGGUGGGGAAAGAUAAAUAUGUGGAAUAUGGAAGCCUGACCUGGAUGAUGCCUGAAUGGGGCGGGACCUAUGGAGUUGUGACUAAUAGUUUUGCCUUUGUCUCUGUCAACAUAACUGUGGAGUCCCAAGUUUGUUCUGCGUCCAUAAUUUUUUCCCAUAAUAAAGGUGGACCAAGUUUCAAAGGAUCAAUUGUGCCUGAAAAAAUUCUCAUUGGUAAAACUGAUUUAUAUAGCAUGUAUUUUAUAGCCUUCAACACCAAGCCUGUCUGUCAAACGGAUAUCAUAACUGGGAUUGAACUCCAGAACCUGUUUGUUCAAAUGGUUACAGAGUUACCAGAGAAUAUAAUGGCGGAUAUUGCCAAUGAUGUGGCCUAUUUCUCUGCUGUUAAUUGCCAUCCCUUGAAGAUUCCUGUUCCCAGGCUUAUAAGGACAUUUACAAAACUGACAAUUUCUCAUUUUCUGACAAUAUCAGGCAUUGUGGCCACCAAAACAGAUACAGUAGACGUUGGUUGCCUGAUUCAGCAGCUAGCGGACCUCAGGUACUUGAGAGAAUCCCUCAGUGCUUGCAGUAUGGCCUACUCUCCUCACAUGUUUACAUCUAAUUUCCUGAAGUUUCUGUCAGGGGUGCAGAUAGAAAGGCUGCCAAAAGCCACCCAGAUCCCUCAGGCGGAUAUGUCAAGAGCCAUGGCGAUGCUAAGGUUUGGAAUCACCAACUACAACGUCUCCGCCCACGCCUUCACAUUCAUGGAGGAAAUGUUUGAGAACAUCUAUAGGGAAUAUUCAUAUGUCUAUUCUCUAACAUCAGAAACCAGGAAGGCAAUGAUGGGCGUGAGCGAAACCUUAAAACACGUUGCCAAGCUCUGGAAGUUCACAACUAAGGACUUGAUAAAAUUGUUCACCAUAGCUACGUCCAUGUGUACAAAUAAUGAAAUUAGUACCAUGGUUGAAAGACACGCCCCCCUUUGGGACAUCGAUGCAGUGGAAACUUUCUCUCCCUGCUAUCUGAGUCUCAGAUUUGACUUUAGUGCCAAUAAGAUAAAUUUUGAGGUGGAGCAGACUAGUCAGCUCACGCCCAAGAGGACUUCUGGGGGUGUGUCUGGCUUUCUCACAGACCUUCACAACCAUCAUCUGGACCUGGUGGCAACGCUGCCUUUUGUAAAGUGUUUGUCUCAUGUUAUCAACAACACUGAUGUGAUACUGCCACUGGAAAAAAUAACAUAUAUCAUCAGCAAGGAAGCUGUACCGGGGGUGACAGUGUAUGAUGUAGCUGAGACCUUUCUAGAGAGUAAGUUGGUGAUAUCUGUGUUCACGGACGAAUGUCAGCCAGCCCUGCAAGACACGGAUGUGCACAGAACUGUUCCAGUAAUUUAUAAUAUCAGUGAUAGCAGAUGUCAAUUUUGUGGUUCGAUCAUCAUGAGUUAUGAUGAAUCACAGGGAUUUCUGGCAGCUAUGUAUGUGUCAGACAAAACCAUCCAGACAAAUUUGUUUCUCCCAGAAUCACCCUUUUUUGAUAAUCACAAUACCCACGUGCACUAUCUUUGGCUCAUGAGCAAUGGAUCUGUUGUGGAACUUAGAGGAAAAUACAGGAGGCAAAUUCA
RNAcentral lists this long non-coding RNA (2158 nucleotides) under synthetic construct. Its description in RNAcentral is "ncORF22-01". The record is from RNAcentral.